GACGUAGGGCGCGAGCGUUGUCCGGAUUUAUUGGGCGUAAAGAGCUCGUAGGUGGUUUGUCACGUUGUUCGUGAAAACUCACAGCUCAACUGUGGGCGUGCGGGCGAUACGGGCAGACUGGAGUACUGCAGGGGAGACUGGAAUUCCUGGUGUAGCGGUGGAAUGCGCAGAUAUCAGGAGGAACACCGGUGGCGAAGGCGGGUCUCUGGGCAGUAACUGACGCUGAGGAGCGAAAGCGUGGGGAGCGAACAGG
This 253-nucleotide ribosomal RNA is filed under the name uncultured bacterium. Its description in RNAcentral is "partial 16S ribosomal RNA". It matches the Rfam family "Bacterial small subunit ribosomal RNA", at positions 524 to 776 of the family's 1533-position model. The record is from RNAcentral.